Molecule: ribosomal RNA, 430 nt
Filed under: Bacillota bacterium
Lineage: Bacteria; Bacillati; Bacillota
Description: Firmicutes bacterium partial 16S ribosomal RNA
Rfam family: Bacterial small subunit ribosomal RNA
Source: RNAcentral
UAGGGAAUCUUCCGCAAUGGACGAAAGUCUGACGGAGCAACGCCGCGUGAGCGAAGAAGGUCUUCGGAUCGUAAAGCUCUGUUGUCAGGGAAGAACAAGUACCGUUCGAACAGGGCGGUACCUUGACGGUACCUGACGAGGAAGCCACGGCUAACUACGUGCCAGCAGCCGCGGUAAUACGUAGGUGGCAAGCGUUGUCCGGAAUUAUUGGGCGUAAAGCGCGCGCAGGCGGUUCCUUAAGUCUGAUGUGAAAUCUCGCGGCUCAACCGCGAGCGGCCAUUGGAAACUGGGGACCUUGAGUGCAGGAGCGGGGAGCGGAAUUCCACGUGUAGCGGUGAAAUGCGUAGAGAUGUGGAGGAACACCAGUGGCGAAGGCGGCUCUCUGGCCUGUAACUGACGCUGAGGCGCGAAAGCGUGGGGAGCGAACAGG